GGAGUGGCAGACGGGUGAGUAACGCGUGGGAAUCUACCCAUCUCUACGGAAUAACUCAGGGAAACUUGUGCUAAUACCGUAUACGCCCUUCGGGGGAAAGAUUUAUCGGAGAUGGAUGAGCCCGCGUUGGAUUAGCUAGUUGGUGGGGUAAAGGCCUACCAAGGCGACGAUCCAUAGCUGGUCUGAGAGGAUGAUCAGCCACAUUGGGACUGAGACACGGCCCAAACUCCUACGGGAGGCAGCAGUGGGGAAUAUUGGACAAUGGGCGCAAGCCUGAUCCAGCCAUGCCGCGUGAGUGAUGAAGGCCCUAGGGUUGUAAAGCUCUUUCACCGAUGAAGAUAAUGACUGUAGUCGGAGAAGAAGCCCCGGCUAACUUCGUGCCAGCAGCCGCGGUAAUACGAAGGGGGCUAGCGUUGUUCGGAAUUACUGGGCGUAAAGCGCACGUAGGCGGGUAUUUAAGUCAGGGGUGAAAUCCCGGAGCUCAACUCCGGAACUGCCUUUGAUACUGGGUACCUAGAGUAUGGAAGAGGUAAGUGGAAUUCCGAGUGUAGAGGUGAAAUUCGUAGAUAUUCGGAGGAACACCAGUGGCGAAGGCGGCUUACUGGUCCAUUACUGACGCUG
This 621-nucleotide ribosomal RNA is filed under the name alpha proteobacterium DCo04-54. RNAcentral describes it as "bacterial SSU rRNA". It matches the Rfam family "Bacterial small subunit ribosomal RNA", at positions 92 to 748 of the family's 1533-position model. The record is from RNAcentral. Lineage: Bacteria; Pseudomonadati; Pseudomonadota; Alphaproteobacteria.